Molecule: ribosomal RNA, 443 nt
Filed under: uncultured bacterium
Lineage: Bacteria
Description: partial 16S ribosomal RNA
Rfam family: Bacterial small subunit ribosomal RNA
Source: RNAcentral
CCUACGGGAGGCUGCAGUGGGGAAUAUUUGGCAAUGGUCGCAAGCCUGACCCAGCAACGCCGCGUGAAGGAAGAAGGCUUUCGGGUUGUAAACUUCUUUUCUGAGGGACGAAGAAAGUGACGGUACCUCAGGAAUAAGCCACGGCUAACUACGUGCCAGCAGCCGCGAUAAUACGUAGGUGGCAAGCGUUAUCCGGAUUUAUUGGGUGUAAAGGGCGUGUAGGCGGGAAAGCAAGUCAGAAGUGAAAACUCAGGGCUAAACGCUGAUCCUUCAUUUGAAACUGUUUUUCUUGAGUGCUGGAGAGGCAAGCGGAAUUCCGGGGGUAGCGGUGAAAUGCGUAGAAAUACGGAGGAACACCAGUGGAGAAGGCGGAUUGAUGGACAGUAACUGACGCUGAGGCGCGAAAGCGUGGGGAGCAAACAGGAUUAGAGACCCCAGUAGUC